RNAcentral lists this ribosomal RNA (406 nucleotides) under uncultured bacterium. RNAcentral's name for it is "partial 16S ribosomal RNA". It matches the Rfam family "Bacterial small subunit ribosomal RNA", at positions 28 to 525 of the family's 1533-position model. The record is from RNAcentral.
AUUGAACGCUGGCGGCAGGCCUAACACAUGCAAGUCGAGCGGAGCGGCGGACGGGUGAGUAAUGCCUAGGAAUCUGCCUGGUAGUGGGGGAUAACGUCCGGAAACGGGCGCUAAUACCGCAUACUAUCAGAUGAGCCUAGGCCGGAUUGGCUAGUUGGUGGGGUAAAGGCCUACCAAGGCGACGGUCCGUAACUGGGCUGAGUGGAUGAUUGGUCACACGGGAACUGAGACACGGUCCAGACUCCUACGGGGGGCGGCGGUGGGAAAUGUGGGCCAAGGGGCGAAAGCCUGUUCCGGCCAUGCCGGGUGUGUGAAGAAGGUCUUCGGAUUGUAAAGCACUUUAAGUUGGGGGACGUUACCAACGGAGUAAGCACCGGCUAACUUCGUGCCAGCCGCCGCGGUAAAC